CUCAACCCCGGGAACGGGUUCGAAACUAUCACGCUAGAGCAGAUCAGAGGGUAGUGGAAUUCCCGGUGUAGCGGUAAUAUGCGUAGAUAUCGGGAGGAACACCAGUGGCGAAGGCGGCUACCUGGGGUCUUGCUGACGCUGAGGAACGAAAGCCAGGGGAGCGAACGGGAUUAGAUACCCCGGUAGUCCUGGCCGUAAACGAUGGGCACUAGGUGUAGGGAGCUUCGACCCUCUCUGCGCCGCCGCUAACGCAUUAAGUGCCCCGCCUGGGAAGUACAACCGCAAGGUUAAAACUCAAAGGAAUUGACGGGUCCCCGCACAAGCAGUGGAGCAUGUGGUUUAAUUCGAGGCUACGCGAAGAACCUUACCAGGGUUUGACAUCCCGCUGAAAGCACCUAGAGAUAGGAGCCUCCUUCGGGCAGUGGAGACAGGUGGUGCAUGGCUGUCGUCAGCUCGUGCCGUGAGGUGUUGGAUUAAGUUCCGCAACGAGCGCAACCCUCGUUGUUAGUUGCCAUCAUUAAGUUGGGCACUCUAGCGAGACUGCCGGUGUCAAGCCGGAGGAAGGUGGGGACGACGUCAAGUCAUCAUGCCCUUUAUAUCCUGGGCUACACACGUGCUACAAUGGACGGUACAACGGGUUGCCACACCGCGAGGUGGAGCGAAUCCCUUAAAGCCGUUCUCAGUUCGGAUCGGAGGCUGCAACUCGCCUCCAUGAAGUUGGAAUUGCUAGUAAACGUGGAUCAGCAUGCCGCGUUGAAUACGUACCCGGGGAUUGUACACACCGCCCGUCACACCAUGGAAGUUGGUAACACCCGAAGUCCGUAAGCUAACCCUUUGGGAAGCAGCGGCCGAAGGUGGGAUCAGUGACUAGGGUGAAGUCGUAACAAGGUAACC
Molecule: ribosomal RNA, 894 nt
Filed under: uncultured bacterium
Lineage: Bacteria
Description: bacterial SSU rRNA
Rfam family: Bacterial small subunit ribosomal RNA
Source: RNAcentral